GCGGGGGUGGCCGAGACCGUUACAAACGGCGGAAUCCAGGUCAAAGGCGGUGGGCUUAGGACCCACUGGCGUAGGCCUGCGUGGGUUCGAAUCCCACCCCCCGCACCA
This 108-nucleotide transfer RNA is filed under the name Candidatus Bathyarchaeota archaeon. RNAcentral describes it as "tRNA-Leu". It matches the Rfam family "tRNA". Rfam says of the family: Transfer RNA (tRNA) molecules are approximately 80 nucleotides in length. Lineage: Archaea; Thermoproteati; Candidatus Bathyarchaeota. The record is from RNAcentral.